UACGAAGGGGGGCUAGCGUUGCUCGGAAUCACUGGGCGUAAAGCGCACGUAGGCGGCUUUUUAAGUCAGGGGUGAAAUCCCGGAGCUCAACUCCGGAACUGCCUUUGAUACUGAAAAGCUUGAGUUCGGGAGAGGUGAGUGGAACUGCGAGUGUAGAGGUGAAAUUCGUAGAUAUUCGCAAGAACACCAGUGGCGAAAGGCGGCUCACUGGUCCGGUACUGACGCUGAGGUGCGAAAGCGUGGGGAGCAAACAGG
This 255-nucleotide ribosomal RNA is filed under the name uncultured bacterium. RNAcentral's name for it is "partial 16S ribosomal RNA". It matches the Rfam family "Bacterial small subunit ribosomal RNA", at positions 524 to 776 of the family's 1533-position model. The record is from RNAcentral.